This 460-nucleotide ribosomal RNA is filed under the name uncultured bacterium. Its description in RNAcentral is "SSU rRNA". It matches the Rfam family "Bacterial small subunit ribosomal RNA", at positions 26 to 518 of the family's 1533-position model. The record is from RNAcentral.
AGAAUCAACGCUGGCGGCGUGCCUAACACAUGCAAGUCGCACGAGAAAGGGACUUCGGUCCUAAGUACAGUGGCGCACGGGUGAGUAACACGUGAAUUAUCUACCUCCGAGUGGGGAAUAACUGAGAGAAAUCUUAGCUAAUACCGCAUAACACUUACGAGUCAAAGCAGCAAUGCGCUUGGAGAGGAGUUCGCGGCAGAUUAGUUAGUUGGCGGGGUAAUGGCCCACCAAGACGAUGAUCUGUAUCCGGCCUGAGAGGGCGCACGGACACACUGGAACUGAAACACGGUCCAGACUCCUACGGGAGGCAGCAGUGGGGAAUUUUGCGCAAUGGGGGAAACCCUGACGCAGCAACGCCGCGUGGAGGAUGAAAUAUCUUGGUAUGUAAACUCCUUUCGAUGGGGAAGAUAAUGACGGUACCCAUAGAAGAAGCCCCGGCUAACUUCGUGCCAGCAGCCGC